GACGAACGCUGGCGGCGUGCUUAACACAUGCAAGUCGAGCGAUGAAGUUCCUUCGGGAAUGGAUUAGCGGCGGACGGGUGAGUAACACGUGGGUAACCUGCCUCAUAGAGGGGAAUAGCCUUCCGAAAGGAAGAUUAAUACCGCAUAAGAUCGUAGUUUCGCAUGAAACAGCAAUUAAAGGAGUAAUCCGCUAUGAGAUGGACCCGCGUCGCAUUAGCUAGUUGGUGAGGUAACGGCUCACCAAGGCGACGAAGCGUAGCCGACCUGAGAGGGUGAUCGGCCACAUGGGGACUGGGACACGGCCCAGACUCCUCCGGGGGGCAGCAGUGGGGAAUAUUGCACAAUGGGGGAAACCCUGAUGCAGCAACGCCGCGUGAGUGAUGACGGUCUUCGGAUUGUAAAACUCUGUCUUCAGGGACGAUAAUGACGGUACCUGAGGAGGAAGCCACGGCUAACUACGUGCCAGCAGCCGCCGUAA
RNAcentral lists this ribosomal RNA (478 nucleotides) under uncultured bacterium. RNAcentral's name for it is "partial 16S ribosomal RNA". It matches the Rfam family "Bacterial small subunit ribosomal RNA", at positions 28 to 523 of the family's 1533-position model. The record is from RNAcentral.